UGGGGAAUAUUGGACAAUGGGCGCAAGCCUGAUCCAGCCAUGCCGCGUGAGUGAUGACGGCCCUAGGGUUGUAAAGCUCUUUCAGUGGUGAAGAUAAUGACGGUAACCACAGAAGAAGCCCCGGCUAACUCCGUGCCAGCAGCCGCGGUAAUACGGAGGGGGCAAGCGUUGUUCGGAAUUACUGGGCGUAAAGCGCGCGUAGGCGGGUCUUUAAGUCAGAGGUGAAAUCCUGGAGCUCAACUCCAGAACUGCCUUUGAUACUGGAGAUCUUGAGUCCGGAAGAGGUUAGUGGAAUUCCCAGUGUAGAGGUGAAAUUCGUAGAUAUUGGGAAGAACACCAGUGGCGAAGGCGGCUAACUGGUCCGGUACUGACGCUGAGGUGCGAAAGCGUGGGGAGCAAACAGG
Molecule: ribosomal RNA, 404 nt
Filed under: uncultured Anderseniella sp.
Lineage: Bacteria; Pseudomonadati; Pseudomonadota; Alphaproteobacteria; Hyphomicrobiales; Parvibaculaceae
Description: bacterial SSU rRNA
Rfam family: Bacterial small subunit ribosomal RNA
Source: RNAcentral